This 491-nucleotide ribosomal RNA is filed under the name uncultured bacterium. Its description in RNAcentral is "bacterial SSU rRNA". It matches the Rfam family "Bacterial small subunit ribosomal RNA", at positions 24 to 518 of the family's 1533-position model. The record is from RNAcentral.
UCAGGAUGAACGCUGGCGGCGUGCUUAACACAUGCAAGUCGAACGGAGUACAUCAACCGAGACCUCGGGUCUCAUCUGUGUACUUAGUGGCGGACGGGUGAGUAACGCGUGAGCAACCAACCUUAUGCAGAGGGAUAACAAUUAGAAAUGAUUGCUAAUACCGCAUAAGACCACAGCACCGCAUGAUGCAGUGGGAAAAACUCCGGUGGCAUAAGACGGGCUCGCGUUCGAUUAGCUUGUUGGUGGGGUAACGGCUCACCAAGGCGACGAUCGAUAGCCGGACUGAGAGGUCGACCGGCCACAUUGGGACUGAGACACGGCCCAGACUCCUACGGGAGGCAGCAGUGGGGAAUAUUGCACAAUGGGGGAAACCCUGAUGCAGCGACGCCGCGUGAGUGAUGAAGUAUUUCGGUAUGUAAAGCUCUUUUAGUAGGGAAGAAGAUGACGGUACCUACAGAAACAGCCCCGGCUAACUACGUGCCAGCCGCUGC